AGCGAACGCUAGCGGGAUGCCUCAAACAUGCAAGUCGUACGCGAAUUUGGCUUCGGCCAUUAGUAGAGUGGCGCACGGGUGCGUAACACGUAGCUAACGUACCCUAUCGCUGGGGAUAACUCCGUGAAAACGGAGCUAAUACCGAAUGAUCUGUCGGGGUCUGCGGACCCUGCCGGUAAAGCCGUAAGGCGCGAUAGGAUCGGGCUGCGGCAGAUUAGUUUGUUGGUGGGGUAAUGGCCUACCAAGACUACGAUCUGUAGCUGGUCUGAGAGGAUGAUCAGCCACACUGGAACUGGAACACGGUCCAGACUCCCACGGGAGGCAGCAGUUGGGAAUAUUGGACAAUGGGAGCAAUCCUGAUCCAGCAAUCCCGCGUGAGUGAUGAAGGCCUUCGGUCGUAAAGCUCUUUUAGGUAGGGACGAAGGGAAAC
This 430-nucleotide ribosomal RNA is filed under the name uncultured bacterium. Its description in RNAcentral is "bacterial SSU rRNA". It matches the Rfam family "Bacterial small subunit ribosomal RNA", at positions 29 to 456 of the family's 1533-position model. The record is from RNAcentral.